GACGAACGCUGGCGGCGUGCUAAACACAUGCAAGUCGAACGGUGAAGCGCCUUCCUUUUUGGUGGGUGUGGAUGAGUGGCGAACGGGUGAGUAACACGUGAGUAACCUGCCCCCUUCUUCUGGAUAACCGCAUGAAAGUGUGGCUAAUACGGGAUAUUCUGGGUCUGUCGCAUGAUGGGUCUGGGAAAGAUAUUGUUUCGGUGGGGGAUGGGCUCGCGGCCUAUCAGCUUGUUGGUGGGGUGAUGGCCUACCAAGGCGGUGACGGGUAGCCGGCCUGAGAGGGUGGACGGUCACACUGGGACUGAGACACGGCCCAGACUCCUACGGGAGGCAGCAGUGGGGAAUAUUGCACAAUGGGCGCAAGCCUGAUGCAGCGACGCCGCGUGAGGGAUGGAGGCCUUCGGGUUGUGAACCUCUUUCGCCAGUGAAGCAGGCCUGCCUCGUUUGUGGGUGGGUUGACGGUAGCUGGAGAAGAAGCGCCGGCUAACUACGUG
RNAcentral lists this ribosomal RNA (494 nucleotides) under uncultured bacterium. RNAcentral describes it as "partial 16S ribosomal RNA". It matches the Rfam family "Bacterial small subunit ribosomal RNA", at positions 28 to 507 of the family's 1533-position model. The record is from RNAcentral.